RNAcentral lists this ribosomal RNA (440 nucleotides) under uncultured bacterium. RNAcentral's name for it is "partial 16S ribosomal RNA". It matches the Rfam family "Bacterial small subunit ribosomal RNA", at positions 338 to 795 of the family's 1533-position model. The record is from RNAcentral.
CCUACGGGAGGCAGCAGUGGGGAAUAUUGCACAAUGGGGGAAACCCUGAUGCAGCGACGCCGCGUGAGCGAUGAAGUAUCUCGGUAUGUAAAGCUCUAUCAGCAGGGAAGAAAAUGACGGUACCUGACUAAGAAGCCCCGGCUAACUACGUGCCAGCAGCCGCGGUAAUACGUAGGGGGCAAGCGUUAUCCGGAUUUACUGGGUGUAAAGGGAGCGUAGACGGUCCUACAAGCCAGAUGUGAAAUCCCGGGGCUCAACCCCGGGACUGCUUUUGAAACUGUGCGGCUAGAGUGGCGGAGGGGCAAGCGGAAUUCCUGGUGUAGCGGGGAAAUGCGUAGAUAUUAGGAGGAACACCAGUGGCGAAGGCGGCCUGCUGGACGGUAACUGACGUUGAGGCUCGAAAGCGUGGGGAGCAAACAGGAUUAGAUACCCUAGUAGUC